AGUGAACGCUGGCGGUAGGCCUAACACAUGCAAGUCGAACGGCAGCACAGUAAGAGCUUGCUCUUACGGGUGGCGAGUGGCGGACGGGUGAGGAAUACAUCGGAAUCUACUUUUUCGUGGGGGAUAACGUAGGGAAACUUACGCUAAUACCGCAUACGACCUACGGGUGAAAGCAGGGGAUCUUCGGACCUUGCGCGAUUGAAUGAGCCGAUGUCGGAUUAGCUAGUUGGCGGGGUAAAGGCCCACCAAGGCGACGAUCCGUAGCUGGUCUGAGAGGAGGAUCAGCCAAACUGGAACGAGAACACGUUCCAGACUCCUACGGGAGGCAGCGGUGGGGAAUAUUGGACAAUGGGCGCAAGCCUGAUCCAGCCAUACCGCGUGGGUGAAGAAGGCCUUCGGGUUGUAAAGCCCUUUUGUUGGGAAAAAAAAGCAGCAGGUUAAUACCCCGCUGUUCUGACGGUACCCAAAGAAUAAGCACCGGCUAACUUCGG
Molecule: ribosomal RNA, 491 nt
Filed under: uncultured bacterium
Lineage: Bacteria
Description: partial 16S ribosomal RNA
Rfam family: Bacterial small subunit ribosomal RNA
Source: RNAcentral